Molecule: non-coding RNA, 27 nt
Filed under: Mus musculus (house mouse)
Lineage: Eukaryota; Metazoa; Chordata; Mammalia; Rodentia; Muridae
Source: RNAcentral
UGGAACAAGAUCGUUCUUAAAAAGUGG